RNAcentral lists this ribosomal RNA (460 nucleotides) under uncultured bacterium. RNAcentral describes it as "partial 16S ribosomal RNA". It matches the Rfam family "Bacterial small subunit ribosomal RNA", at positions 338 to 795 of the family's 1533-position model. The record is from RNAcentral.
CCUACGGGAGGCAGCAGUGAGGAAUAUUGGUCAAUGGCCGGAAGGCUGAACCAGCCAUGCCGCGUGAAGGUCAGUGCCCUAUGGGCGUUAAACUUCUUUUGUGCGGGAGCAAUAAUGGUCACGUGUGGCCAGACGAGAGUACCGUACGAAUAAGCAUCGGCUAACACCGUGCCCGCCGCCGCGGUAAUACGGGGGAUGCAAGCGUUAUCCGGAUUUAUUGGGUUUAAAGGGUGCGUAGGCUGUGCGGUAAGUCAGCGGUGAAAUGCCCCCGCUCAACGGGGUGAAGUGCCAUUGAUACUGCCUGGCUGGAGUGCGGAUGCGGUGGGAGGAAUGUGUGGUGUAGCGGUGAAAUGCAUAGAUAUCACACAGAACACCGAUUGCGAAGGCAUCUCACGAAUCCGCGAUUGACGCUGAUGCACGAAAGCGUGGGUAUCAAACAGGAUUAGAUACCCGAGUAGUC